CAGUCGCCGCGGUAAUACGGAGGGGGCUAGCGUUGUUCGGAAUUACUGGGCGUAAAGCGCACGUAGGCGGCUAUUCAAGUCAGAGGUGAAAGCCCGGGGCUCAACCCCGGAAUUGCCUUUGAAACUAGAUAGCUUGAACACGGGAGAGGUGAGUGGAAUUCCGAGUGUAAAGGUGAAAUUCGUAGAUAUUCGGAAGAACACCAGUGGCGAAGGCGGCUCACUGGACCGUUGUUGACGCUGAGGUGCGAAAGCGUGGGGAGCAAACAGGAUUAGAUACCCCGGUAGUCCCUGUCUCUUAUAC
This 301-nucleotide ribosomal RNA is filed under the name uncultured bacterium. RNAcentral describes it as "partial 16S ribosomal RNA". It matches the Rfam family "Bacterial small subunit ribosomal RNA", at positions 509 to 807 of the family's 1533-position model. The record is from RNAcentral.